AUGCUCGCUUCAGCAGUACAUAUACUAAAACUGGACCUGAUACAGAGAAGAUGAGCACGGCCCCUGCACAGGAUGACACUCAAAAUAUUCCCAAAGCAGAAACUUCU
Molecule: small nuclear RNA, 107 nt
Organism: Hyaena hyaena (striped hyena)
Lineage: Eukaryota; Metazoa; Chordata; Mammalia; Carnivora; Hyaenidae
Source: RefSeq, a predicted model, not a curated record